CAGUCGCCGCGGGAAUACGGAGGGGGCUAGCGUUGCUCGGAAUGACUGGGCGUAAAGGGCGCGUAGGCGGCGGCCAAAGUCAGGCGUGAAAUUCCUGGGCUCAACCUGGGGGCUGCGUUUGAUACUUGGUUGCUUGAGUGGGGAAGAGGGUCGUGGAAUUCCCAGUGUAGAGGUGAAAUUCGUAGAUAUUGCGAAGAACACCGGUGGCGAAGGCGGCGACCUGGUCCUUUACUGACGCUGAGGCGCGAAAGCGUGGGGAGCAAACAGGAUUAGAUACCCGUGUAGUCCCUGUCUCUUAUAC
This 301-nucleotide ribosomal RNA is filed under the name uncultured bacterium. Its description in RNAcentral is "partial 16S ribosomal RNA". It matches the Rfam family "Bacterial small subunit ribosomal RNA", at positions 509 to 807 of the family's 1533-position model. The record is from RNAcentral.